Molecule: ribosomal RNA, 468 nt
Filed under: uncultured bacterium
Lineage: Bacteria
Description: partial 16S ribosomal RNA
Rfam family: Bacterial small subunit ribosomal RNA
Source: RNAcentral
GACGAACGCUGGCGGCGUGCUUAACACAUGCAAGUCGAACGGAAAGGCCCUGCUUUUGUGGGGUGCUCGAGUGGCGAACGGGGGAGUAACACGUGAGUAACCUGCCCUUGACUGUGGGAUAACUUCAGGAAACUGGGGCUAAUACCGGAUAGGAUCUCUUGCUGCAUGGUGGGGGUUGGAAAGUUUCGGCGGUAGGGGAUGGUCUCGCGGCUUAUCAGCUUGUUGGUGGGGUAGUGGCUUACCAAGGCUUUGACGGGUAGCCGGCCUGAGAGGGUGACCGGCCACAUUGCGACUGAGAUACGGCCCAGACUCCUACGGGAGGCAGCAGUGGGGAAUAUUGCACAACGGGAGGAAGCCAGAUGUGGCAACGCCGCGUGCGGGAUAACGGCUUGGGGGUUGUAAACCGAUUUCGCAUGUGCCGAAGCGUGAGUGACGGUAAUGGGUAAAGAAGCACCGGCUAACUACGUG